GACGAACGCUGGCGGCGUGCUUAACACAUGCAAGUCGAACGGUGAAGGGGCCUGCUUUUGUGGGCCCUGGAUGAGUGGCGAACGGGUGAGUAACACGUGAGUAACCUGCCCCCUCCUUCUGGAUAACCGCAUGAAAGUGUGGCUAAUACGGGAUAUUCUGGGUCUGUCGCAUGAUGGGUCUGGGAAAGAUUGCGCCUUUGGGUGUUUUUGGUGGGGGAUGGGCUCGCGGCCUAUCAGCUUGUUGGUGGGGUGAUGGCCUACCAAGGCGGUGACGGGUAGCCGGCCUGAGAGGGUGGACGGUCACACUGGGACUGAGACACGGCCCAGACUCCUACGGGAGGCAGCAGUGGGGAAUAUUGCACAAUGGGCGCAAGCCUGAUGCAGCGACGCCGCGUGAGGGAUGGAGGCCUUCGGGUUGUAAACCUCUUUCGCCAGUGAAGCAGGCCUGCUCCUUGUGGGUGGGUUGACGGUAGCUGGAUAAGAAGCGCCGGCUAACUACGUG
Molecule: ribosomal RNA, 502 nt
Filed under: uncultured bacterium
Lineage: Bacteria
Description: partial 16S ribosomal RNA
Rfam family: Bacterial small subunit ribosomal RNA
Source: RNAcentral